This is a non-coding RNA of Camelina sativa (false flax), 1110 nucleotides long. The record is from RefSeq and is a predicted model, not a curated record. Lineage: Eukaryota; Viridiplantae; Streptophyta; Magnoliopsida; Brassicales; Brassicaceae.
CUAUGGUUGAGAUACCCUCAGUUUUUUAUAGCGUUUGUCAAAAUGAAAAGGCUAUGUUUGAUUGAAGCGGAAAAAACUAAUUCAUUUGCCCUCUUAUAACUUAGUGAAAAAAAGGAGGCGGCUACCAAAAUUUCAUUCUCCCCCUUAGAAUUUCGUUUACUCCCUCCAUUGUUUCACUCAUUAAGCUUUUUAAUUUUUGUCCAUCAAAACUCUUAAACCCAGAUUCAAAACUCUUAACCCGAUUCAAAAGAAGAUGAGUUAUCUUCCUCUUCUCCACCAAACAAAACAGAGUCAUCUUCCUCUUCUCCAUCGCAAAUCGUGAACCCCCAGAUCUGUUUUAGAUCUCGUCGCCGCUCAAUCUCUACACCAGAGUAAUCGAAUAAGAUGUGACCAGAGAUGUUUUGUUGAUAUUUUCUCAGAAGUUUGUGAGGGAUAUCAUUCGUCUUCGUCGGCGUCACCUCCAUCUCGUCUCCUAGAUCUAUCGCUGUUUCCACAUCUUAGUGUUUGAGUCUGUUGAGGUUUUGUUUUAGGGUUCACCAAUUUGUUCUUUUCAUUCAUAACUCUUAAUUUUCUGGAUUAUGAUUUCGUGUUUGGUUUUUCAUUUCAGAACUGUUUCGUUUUGCUUCAGCUUCUUUUGAUUGGUUUUUCUUCUUUGUCAGCAGAUAGAAACUCUCUGACGACGAGUUUACACAAAUUGAGACUCGCCGCGGCAGUUCCUGUAAGGGAUAAGGGAUAAUAAGGAAGCAGUCGAAAACAACAUGAAGAACAGGAAUUCGAAUGCUAAUCUGGAUGUUGUCCUUGAGCUAAUCAACCAUUGCAGAGAGCAGGAAGUUGAGAGGCUUCGUGAGGAAAGAAUUAACGUUGCAAAGAAGAUAAAAGGGAAGCUGGAGCCAUCUGAACGUGAGAGACUCGUAGAAGAAGGAAAUAUGAGGAAUAUAUUUUGUUUAUCACUCUUGUCUUCUUUGCUAAGAGAUAACAGAUCGUUUUUUCCUUCAGGUAAAAAUCUUUGUCUUGAUAUCAGAUUCCGACAAAUUAAGAUCUGUACCGAGAAAUAUUAAAAUCAGAAACUUGAAAGAUAAGAAAAUUUGGAAAAUACACGUUUAAAAUGCA